CUAAAAUGAUUAAAAUGCAUCUCUUUAUGAAGAAGCUACGAAAGUCAACACCUCCUUUCUGACAAGCAGCAGAAAGGAACAGGCUGAAGCAGAUGCGACUUGGAAUUUAAAGUACGCCGGGCCUCUUAGCACACAAGGGAACGAUACCAAUCUCCGUCUUGAUUUAUUCCUUUAACAAAUAUCCAUUCUGCCCUCUCGAUGUUCCAGGCACUGCUGGGAAGGAAAAGCAAGCGUUGAGCCAAGUGAAGCACAAAACAGUUCCAUCCUGCCAAGUGUCACUUCAGACACACAAACAGUCGCUUUUAUGAGAGCUCACCUUAAUUCCUAGAACUGCCAGCUACAACAACAACAGACAUAUUUGAUGUCCCCGGACAGGAUUUUUUGGGAAACCAGAAUCGCAAACGUGCUGGGACUACAGCCGGGAGGGACUGAGAGGAGCAGGGGUGACCUGCGUGUUCAUUGCCCAACACGCAUCGACUGUCUCGGUGCGUUCUUGGGCAAGGUGAUCCUCCAGCCUCCUGCAGCUGUUUUCUAGGGCACCCCAAUUGUGCCUGGUCCCCCACAAACCACAGCAGAGAAGCAGCAACAGACUGAGCAGUGAGAGAGUUGAAUAGCCUAUGUAGCAUUUUUGUCAGACAGAAGAAUCAGAAAAUACAUAACACUUCUGCAACAGGAGCAUUUGAGAAUAACUACAGAUGCAAGAGUAUUCAGAAAGACUCCUCUUUGAAAAUAGAAGCUUUCUUUCAGCUUCAGCUCUAGGUGCUAAGUGCACAGCACUUCAGCAAAAGUUUGGAGGCAACACGAACCAAACACAAAUGUGAAAUGAAGCUAAAAGGACAGCUUUUGGCAGAGGGACCAGGCGCACUCUGCAGGCCGGGGAAGCGUCUGCACGGAGCUGGAUUCCUGCAGCAAAGUCAAGCCUGUAGGAUGGUGGUGCUGGUGACCCGGUGAUCAUCACCACCUGCACAGCCCUGCGACACCAUCCUUGCUGCUGUUAGCGACACCACGGCCGGGAGCGGUGAAUUUCAUGCUCAGAACGUGGUCUCCUGAGCUGUGAGCCCCGAGAGGGCAGGAACCACAUCAUACUCAGCAUUGAGUGCCAAGCGCCUGUGUAGGGCCUGACGUUAACUCAUUCAUCAGAAACAGCGAUUGAAGGACCUCCUGGGCGUGACCUGAUUCCAGGAGGACUGCGGUCUGCUGUCACCAUUAGAAGCUUCCCGGCCUCCGACCGCGUUCACCCUAACCAGACCGACUUCCCAAGAGAGGCUGGACUCCAUUUUCGACACCAGAGAGAAUGCUGAAGAAGAAGAGUUUUAAAUAAGAUUAAGAAAAAAGAAAGCCCUUAUAUAUCCUGAUUCCAAUCUGGAUAUUCUGAAGCUUUAUUUAUUCUGAAAGCAUUUGUUUUGAGAAAUACUUCUAGUACUUUCAGGAAUUAAAACUCUAGCAGUGCUUGAGACGGUCUUCCUGGAAAUGUAUUUGCUAAUGUAUAUUUCCAGCCUCAAGCAAACCCAUGGAAAAGAAGCAUGCCUAAAUAACAAUGUGGGUGAGAGCUACACACUGGAUGUUUGUGUCCACCCAAAAUUCAUAUAUUGAAAUCCUAACCCACAAUAUGAUUGUACUAGAAGAUGGAGCCUUUGGUAGGUGAUUCAGUCAUUCAUGAGGGUGGAGCCCCCAUGCAUGAGAUUAGUGCCCUUUAUAAAAGAGAACACAAGUGCUCGCUCAUCUUUUCCACCAUGUGAGGAUACAGAGAGAAGACAGCCAACUACCAACCAAGAAGAAGGCUCCAGAUGUCACCAGACGUCAAAUCUGCUGGCACCUUGAUCUUGGACUGCCCAUUCUCCAGAACUGUGAGCAAUACAUUUCUGUUGUCUAAAAGCUAACCAGUCUGUGGUACUUUGCUACAGCUGCUCAAACAGACUAAGAAAAUGAUUGACGGGAAGUGGGAAACUAAACCAGAGCAAAGAACCCUCUCUGAUCAUGCACUUUGGAACUUCAUGACAUCAGGUGUUCCCAUCCCUGGGAGAAAGGCUCUCAUGCUAACUAACUGGAAGUGUAUUUUACUAUGCUAAGGGAAAGUUGUACUUGCUCACAGUUGGUCUUUUGCAUCAGAAUAGGGCAGUGGGAUGUAUAAACUCAAAGGUUUUCUUUAUCAAGUUUGCAACCUGUAGAAACCACAAGAACCACAAAGAUUCUCUAAUUCAUUAUAGGCUUCUUAAUUUCAAACCUACAGGAGUGUACCUUGGUUCACACUUAUUGAAGCAAUCUUUCUUGUGUAUAAGAAAAAAAAAAGAGGCUUAAAAAUAGGCAUAACUAGGACAAGUUACUCAGUGAAAACUGCUUUUAAUUAUAAAUGAAAUAAAAAGAA
Non-coding RNA from Microcebus murinus (gray mouse lemur), 2365 nucleotides. The record is from RefSeq and is a predicted model, not a curated record. Lineage: Eukaryota; Metazoa; Chordata; Mammalia; Primates; Cheirogaleidae.